Molecule: ribosomal RNA, 367 nt
Filed under: uncultured bacterium
Lineage: Bacteria
Description: partial 16S ribosomal RNA
Rfam family: Bacterial small subunit ribosomal RNA
Source: RNAcentral
CCUACGGGCGGCAGCAGUGGGGAAUAUUGCACAAUGGGCGAAAGCCUGAUGCAGCAACGCCGCGUGAGCGAUGAAGGUCUUAGGGUCGUAAAGCUCUGUUCUCAAGGAAGAUAAUGACGGUACUUGAGGAGGAAGCCCCGGCAAACUACGUGCCAGCAGCCGCGGUAAUACGUGGGGGGCUAGCGUUAUCCGGAAUUACUGGGCGUAAAGGGUGCGUAGGUGGUUUCUUAAGUCAGAGGUAAAAGGCUACGGCUCAACCGAAGUAAGCCUUUGAAACUGGGGAUCUUGAGUGCAGGAGAGGAGAGUGGAAUUCCUGGUGUAGCGGUGAAAUGCGUAGAUAUUAGGAGGAACACUAGUUGCGAAGGCG